Non-coding RNA from Paramuricea clavata, 292 nucleotides. NCBI's taxonomy places the organism in Eukaryota, Metazoa, Cnidaria, Anthozoa, Malacalcyonacea, Plexauridae. The record is from the annotation of a GenBank genome assembly.
CAAAAAUGCCAUUAAUUCCUGCCGUCUGAGCAUCUAAAUUUGCUCUAAAAUUUAUCCUAACUAUACUUCUAUUUGAAAUAAAAGAAGGAAAAAACGCACAAAGAAUUUUAAAAAUAUUAACAAUAAUUUAUCAUUACUUAGUGUUAGAAACACGUAGGAUGCGCACGCGGUGACACAGUCCUUUAAAUCGAUUUUGUUAAACAAGGACAAAGGAUAAAGCCUAAACUUACGUUCCGUUUAUCAAUUUGUUAUUCUUCGCUGGUUUGUUUGUAUAAAUUUAGGAAAAAGGGAC